Mustela lutreola (European mink) is the source of this 282-nucleotide long non-coding RNA. RefSeq lists it as uncharacterized. The transcript is spliced from 3 exons. NCBI's taxonomy places the organism in Eukaryota, Metazoa, Chordata, Mammalia, Carnivora, Mustelidae. The record is from RefSeq and is a predicted model, not a curated record.
CCGCCCUCAGCUCCGCAGGGCUCCGCCGCGGGGUGGAGGAGGGGACGCGCCCGCCAGGAUGGGGGCGGGAGGGACCGCCGGGAAGGAGCCCGGAGGACCCCUGGGAGCCGGGUCGACUCAGGUUUGCACAAGUCAACAAAAUACUGUGUAUUGGGAUGGACAAGACACUCCUGAAGAUGAUGACUAGGUGCUGUGGCAGGGAGAGGGCCUCACCCAGCAGACAUGUUGUAGAAGAUGUUGAAGCAGACGAUAGCUGGAAACCUUCAGAGAACAUUUGAUUUG